RNAcentral lists this ribosomal RNA (667 nucleotides) under Enterococcus faecalis. RNAcentral's name for it is "partial 23S ribosomal RNA". It matches the Rfam family "Bacterial large subunit ribosomal RNA", at positions 497 to 1164 of the family's 2925-position model. Lineage: Bacteria; Bacillati; Bacillota; Bacilli; Lactobacillales; Enterococcaceae. The record is from RNAcentral.
AGUACCGUGAGGGAAAGGUGAAAAGCACCCCGGAAGGGGAGUGAAAUAGAUCCUGAAACCGUGUGCCUACAACAAGUCAAAGCUCGUUAAUGAGUGAUGGCGUGCCUUUUGUAGAAUGAACCGGCGAGUUACGAUUGCAUGCGAGGUUAAGUCGAAGAGACGGAGCCGCAGCGAAAGCGAGUCUGAAUAGGGCGAAUGAGUAUGUAGUCGUAGACCCGAAACCAUGUGAUCUACCCAUGUCCAGGUUGAAGGUGCGGUAAAACGCACUGGAGGACCGAACCCACGUACGUUGAAAAGUGCGGGGAUGAGGUGUGGGUAGCGGAGAAAUUCCAAACGAACUUGGAGAUAGCUGGUUCUCUCCGAAAUAGCUUUAGGGCUAGCCUCGGAAUUGAGAAUGAUGGAGGUAGAGCACUGUUUGGACUAGGGGCCCAUCUCGGGUUACCGAAUUCAGAUAAACUCCGAAUGCCAUUCAUUUAUAUCCGGGAGUCAGACUGCGAGUGAUAAGAUCCGUAGUCGAAAGGGAAACAGCCCAGACCACCAGCUAAGGUCCCAAAAUAUAUGUUAAGUGGAAAAGGAUGUGGGGUUGCACAGACAACUAGGAUGUUGGCUUAGAAGCAGCCACCAUUUAAAGAGUGCGUAAUAGCUCACUAGUCGAGUGACCCUGCGC